UGUGAAGCUAUAUCCUUCCUCCUCUGCUGUGGGGGAUGUGAAGCUAUAUCCUUCCUCCUCUGCUGUGGGGGAUGUGAAGCUAUAUCCUUCCUCUGCUGUGAGGGAUGUGAACCUAUAUCCUUCGUCCUUUCACGUACUCUCUGUCUCCCGGGUCGGCUGUAUAGAUUUUAGAGUAUAGUAGGUGGGAACUGUCCCUUGUUAUGGAAAUCUGUUUGCUUAGUUUUCGUAGCUGGCUAGAUGUUUUGUACGUAGACCUUGGAAAGAGGAUGUUGUGUACGCAGGGUAAUGCUACUACUAUACUAUAGGUGUUUUUAAAGACUGUUUUGCGAAAUAUUUAAAAUUCACGAUUUUUUUGGGGAGGUUUUACACCAACUUUAAAAAGAGACGUUUCUGGUCCUUUUACACACUUAGGAAAUUGUGUUUUUUAAGCUUUAAAAUAAUUCCUCCAAACCCAUGUAAUCUCUCCAGCCAGAGCCCAGUCGUUUUGAAUAAAGGCAUCGAACCACUCUUUAACCGAAAGCAUUCAAAGCGGAUAUUUAAGGACUCUUGUUCAAAAGGAAAGCUGAAGCGUUAACUGAUUCCACGAUAGAAAUGUAAAGGUCAUUUUGAGCCAACAUAUGAACUUCCGCGAUACAGAUUGAAUAGAUUGAAUAGAUUGUAAACCUUUAAAAAAAAAGCCCAUCCGUCUCACUGGCUUGACAUGAGCUCUUUAUAACGGCCUCUCUGCCACCUAGUGAGGAAAGAUGGUAUUACACACAGAGCCUCUGCAGAGAGCAGGGAAAUGAGGUGCCACUUGUUUGGCUCUGGAGAGAGACAGGGUGAGGAGGAUAGAUAAACUGAUGGAAUAGAUAGAUAGAUAGAUAGAUAGAUAGAUAGAUAGAUAGAUAGAUAGAUAGAUAGAUAGAUAGAUAGAUAGAUAGAUAGAUAGAUAGAUAGAUAGAUAGAUAGAUAGAUAGAUAGAUAGAUAGAUAGAUAGAUAGAUAGAUAGAUAGAUAGAUAGAUUGUCCAUAAGAUAGUUUUCCUUUCCAAACAUGGCCAUAUAGCUGCAGUUUGUUAUGUCAGAGAUGGUUUCUAAUAAUGAAAUAGUAUAUAUAUAUAUAUAUAUAUAUAUUAGAGAUAAUAAUGUCUUAAUGAAGCCCUUUGAGAAAGUCUUCUCUGUCUCAGCUGAUGGGUUUGUACAUGGGCAUGGGUAUGUGGUUGUGUUGUUGUGAUGAGUUUGUGUGUUUGAGAGAGCAUAUCGUGUUGACAGGUUUACGAGAGAGAGAGAGAGAGAGAGAGAGAGAGAGAGAGAGAGAGAGAGAGAGAGAGAGAGAGAGAGAGAGAGAGAGAGAGAGAGAGAGAGAGAGCAGAAAUAGCUUGUUUUUGUAUCAUUCUAACCAGUGGUUUCUCUGACUUUAUGAGAUUGUUUUUGAUAGUUAUACAGAGGACAGAAUGAGGAUAUAUAUGAACCAUAAAACGUGGAAUGUUUAGAUGUUUUGAUAAAUAAGAAGAGAAUCGAUACUAUAGCCUGGUGUCACAACAGAAGAGAAUCGAUACUAUAGCCUGGUGUCACAACAGAAGAGAAUCGAUACUAUAGCCUGGUGUCACAACAGAAGAGAAUCGAUACUAUAGCCUGGUGUCACAACAGAAGAGAAUCGAUACUAUAGCCUGGUGUCACAACAGAAGAGAAUCGAUACUAUAGCCUGGUGCCAGAUCUAUUUGUGCUGUAUACAGACACAUCCAUGACAAGGUCCAUGUGAGUUGGCAAGACAGCACCAACAGAUCUGGGACCAGGCUAAACUGACGCAGUCUUUGUUUUUCACCUCAGUCCCCAAACUAGUGACCAACAUUGUGUUCAAUGGAUGGAUGGAUGAAUUCAAAUGAUUAUUGUCUUCUUCUUUGUUGUCUGAAAGAAACAUUCAGUGGUAUAGCUUGACUUCAGUGCAGUAACACCAGACAGACCAGAUAUAAUGUGAUGUGUGAUCUGUUUGUGUUGGCCAACUCUGUGGUAAUGACCAUAGGAGCUGGUAAGAUAGCACAUAGUUACAUUGAUCCCCCCCCAAUGAAUGAGAGAUCACGGUGAAUUGGAGCACGUUUAUUGAUCUGCACCAUUGAGCAUUGAUUACAUUUACAUUUUAGUAGACACUCUUAUCCAGAGCGACUUACAGUACUGAAUGCAUACAUUUCAUACAUUUCUUUCUCCGUACCGGUCCCUCGUGGGAAUCGAACCCACAACCCUGGCGUUGCAAACACCAUGCUCUACCAACUGAGCCACACAGGAAGAUGAUGAGUGUCUGCUCGAGCUACAGUACAUCCGCAGACGACAGGACCAUUGACUGACUGUCUGCACCAAUGAAUGGACAAAGCCAUUGAUCGCGUGACACCACUAAUUCCUCUGUGAAGACUCAGUGGCGAAUUGAAGCCUAAUUAAUUCGGAUAAGAUUGCGUCUCACGGAGACAUAACAUGCAGCGCUUUGAGCUACUCCAGAAUGUGACGUUGCAGGCUAGCUCAGCGCUGCCCCCUUCUCAUUGAGUAACUCGCGUUGAAGGCCGACCGGGGUACUGCAGUCUUCCAUUAGCAACUAAUCCUUAUCCUGCGAUAGAAAAAAAUGAUUGGUUUCGAGGACAUAUAUCUGGUGUUUUAAAAGCAAUUAUUGGUAGCGUGACUGUCUUCGAAAAUUGUGUUUAAUUACACGAAGAUUGACCAUGAAGAUCAAACUAAUGUCCAUUUAAGGAAUCCUGUUUUUGCAAACAAUUCCUGCAGUACCACAGUCUGCCUUGAACUUCCGUGGCUUUAAUAAUGAGAGUGGGUAACGGGGCGUCGUAAGGAUUGGACCAAGGUGCAGCGGGAACGUGUAAUACUCAUCUUCUUUAUUACAUCAAAAGAAGGAAAAAACAAACGAAACACGUAUACAAAACAACAAACGACACUAAACAGUCCUGUCAGGUGCUCAGACACUAAACAGUCCUGUCAGGUGCUCAGACACUAAACAGUCCUGUCAGGUGCUCAGACACUAAACAGUCCUGUCAGGUGCUCAGACACUAAACAGUCCUGUCAGGUGCUCAGACACUAAACAGUCCUGUCAGGUGCUCAGACACUAAACAGUCCUGUCAGGUGCUCAGACACUAAACAGUCCUGUCAGGUGCUCAGACACUAAACAGGAGACAACUACCCACAAAUCCCAUAGGAAAAAACACCCCCUCUUAAAUAAGACCUUCAAUUAGAAGCAACGAGGAGCAGCUGCUUCCAAUUGAAGGUCAACCCCAUUAACUAAACAUAGACAUAGAAAGACUAGAACUAACAUAGAAAUAUACUAACAAGAACAUAGCCCAACAAACCCCAAAACACUCUAAACAAACACCCCUCUUACAUAAUAACAUAGCCCAACAAACCGCGAACCACAUAAAACCAACACCCCCUGCCACGUCCUGACCAAACUACAAUAACAAAUAACCCCUUAUACUGGUCAGGACGUGACAGAGUGGGAAGUCGUUCUCAUCCGAUGGCUGCCAUGUUUUUGGACGACGUGAGUGAUGUCAUCACUUUACCAUGGUUACCGUUACAACAUGCCUUACAGUACUCAGUCUUAUAACUACACGAGAGAAUGUCCGUCUUUACCAUGACAGGACAGUAUGAUGGAUGAAAUUAUUUCUCCAAUAGAAAUCCCCGAUAAUGCUUGUAGGCGAUGUCAUGGCAACGUUGGCUAGCUAAGCUCAUGUGCAGAAACACGUUGUCCUGAACUGCCCAUGUGCAGAACACAUCAUCAGGUCUAACGGUCAUCCUGAACUGCCCAUGUGCAGAACACGUCAUCAGGUCUAACAGUCGCUCUGAACUGCCCAUGUGCAGAACACGUCAUCAGGUCUAACGGUCAUCCUGAACUGCCCAUGUGCAGAACACGUCAUCAGGUCUAACGGUCAUCCUGAACUGCCCAUGUGCAGAACACAUCAUCAGGUCUAACGGUCAUCCUGAACUGCCCAUGUGCAGAACACGUCAUCAGGUCUAACGGUUGUCCUGAACUGCCCAUGUGCAGAACACGUCAUCAGGUCUAACGGUCGUCCUGAACUGCCCAUGUGCAGAACACGUCAUCAGGUCUAACGGUUGUCCUGAACUGCCCAUGUGCAGAACACGUCAUCAGGUCUAACGGUUGUCCUGAACUGCCCAUGUGCAGAACACGUCAUCAGGUCUAACGGUUGUCCUGAACUGCCCAUGUGCAGAACACAUCAUCAGGUCUAACGGUCAUCCUGAACUGCCCAUGUGCAGAACACGUCAUCAGGUCUAACGGUCGCUCUGAACUGCCCAUGUGCAGAACACGUCAUCAGGUCUAACGGUCGUCCUGAACUGCCCAUGUGCAGAACACGUCAUCAGGUCUAACGGUCGCUCUGAACUACCCAUGUGCAGAACACGUCAUCAGGUCUAACGGUCAUCCUGAACUGCCCAUGUGCAGAACACAUCAUCAGGUCUAACGGUUGUCUCGUCCUGAACUGCCCAUGUGCAGAACACGUCAUCAGGUCCCAACCCCCUCCAUCCAACCUGUCUCCACUCCCAACCUCCCAUCCCCCCAACCCCUCCAGCCAACCUGUCUCCACUCCCAACCUCCCAUCCCCCCCAACCCCCUCCAGC
Molecule: long non-coding RNA, 4600 nt
Filed under: Salmo salar (Atlantic salmon)
Lineage: Eukaryota; Metazoa; Chordata; Actinopteri; Salmoniformes; Salmonidae
Description: lncRNA (ENSSSAG00000093662.1, ENSSSAG00000102279.1)
Source: RNAcentral